RNAcentral lists this ribosomal RNA (520 nucleotides) under uncultured bacterium. Its description in RNAcentral is "bacterial SSU rRNA". It matches the Rfam family "Bacterial small subunit ribosomal RNA", at positions 120 to 674 of the family's 1533-position model. The record is from RNAcentral.
GGGAACAUACCCUUUUCUACGGAAUAGCUCUGGGAAACUGGAAUUAAUACCGUAUACGCCCUAUGGGGGAAAGAUUUAUCGGGGAAGGAUUGGCCCGCGUUGGAUUAGCUAGUUGGUGGGGUAAAGGCCUACCAAGGCGACGAUCCAUAGCUGGUCUGAGAGGAUGAUCAGCCACAUUGGGACUGAGACACGGCCCAAACUCCUACGGGAGGCAGCAGUGGGGAAUAUUGGACAAUGGGCGCAAGCCUGAUCCAGCCAUGCCGCGUGAGUGAUGAAGGCCUUAGGGUUGUAAAGCUCUUUCACCGAUGAAGAUAAUGACGGUAGUCGGAGAAGAAGCCCCGGCUAACUUCGUGCCAGCAGCCGCGGCAAUACGAAGGGGGCUAGCGUUGUUCGGAAUUACUGGGCGUAAAGCGCACGUAGGCGGAUAUUUAAGUCAGGGGUGAAAUCCCAGAGCUCAACUCUGGAACUGCCUUUGAUACUGGGUAUCUUGAGUAUGGAAGAGGUAAGUGGAAUUGCGAGU